AUGCCAUGCCUUAUUAAACCGGACAUGCAUCAUACUUGUUUGUGCAUCAUGCCAUGUUUAUGCUUGUGCAUUUACUAUGUUGUUUGCUUCUUUCCGGGUUGCCUUCGGUUUCGUUCCGGAGUUGUGAGGAUUCGUUCGACUACUUCCGCUUGUCUUCUUCAUGGACUCGUUCUUCUUCCUAGCGGGAUUUCAGAAACGAGAGAUUUUUCAAGACCUUGCUCCACUGCUGUGGCACUCCUUUGGCACUGUUGCUGCACUGCUCCAGCUCACAUCCCACUGUACCUGUACCCGUUCCUGAAUACUACCAGCAAGACAAGACCUUUUGAGUACUUGAGGCUUACCAGCUUGGGUGUUAUUGGUGCUCUUGUGAAGGUAAAUUAA
RNAcentral lists this ribosomal RNA (381 nucleotides) under Triticum aestivum (bread wheat). Its description in RNAcentral is "partial small subunit ribosomal RNA". The record is from RNAcentral. Lineage: Eukaryota; Viridiplantae; Streptophyta; Magnoliopsida; Poales; Poaceae.